CCAACAGGGAUUGCCCUAGUAACGGCGAGUGAAGCGGCAACAGCUCAAAUUUGAAAUCUGGCCCCCCGGCCCGAGUUGUAAUUUGCAGAGGAUGCUUCGGGCGCGGUGCCUUCCAAGUCCCCUGGAACGGGGCGCCACAGAGGGUGAGAGCCCCGUCAGGUCGGCCACCAAGCCUGUGUGAAGCUCCUUCGACGAGUCGAGUAGUUUGGGAAUGCUGCUCUAAGUGGGAGGUAGACCCCUUCUAAAGCUAAAUACCGGCCAGAGACCGAUAGCGCACAAGUAGAGUGAUCGAAAGAUGAAAAGCACUUUGAAAAGAGGGUUAAAUAGUACGUGAAAUUGUUGAAAGGGAAGCGCUUGUGACCAGACGUGCGCCGGGGUGUUCAGCGGGCGUUCUCGCCCGUGCACUCGCCCCGGCGCAGGCCAGCGUCGGUUCUGGCGGGGGGACAAAGACGACGGGAACGUAGCUCCCCCGGGAGUGUUAUAGCCCGUCGUGCCAUGCCCCCGCCGGGACCGAGGUUCGCGCUCCGCAAGGACGCUGGCGUAAUGGUCCCCAGCGGCCCGUCUUGAAACACGGACCAAGGAGUCGAGGUUUUGCGCGAGUGUUUGGGUGUCAAACCCGCACGCGUAAUGAAAGUGAACGUAGGUGGGAGCUUCGGCGCACCACCGACCGAUCCUGAUGUGCUCGGAUGGAUUUGAGUAGGAGCGCAGGGCCUCGGACCCGAAAGAUGGUGAACUAUACGUGGAUAGGGUGAAGCCAGAGGAAACUCUGGUGGAGGCUCGCAGCGGUUCUGACGUGCAAAUCGAUCGUCAAAUCUGCGUAUGGGGGCGAAAGACUAAUCGAACCAU
Molecule: ribosomal RNA, 846 nt
Filed under: Menisporopsis theobromae
Lineage: Eukaryota; Fungi; Ascomycota; Sordariomycetes; Chaetosphaeriales; Chaetosphaeriaceae
Also listed under: 1 other name
Description: partial large subunit ribosomal RNA
Rfam family: Eukaryotic large subunit ribosomal RNA
Source: RNAcentral